This 310-nucleotide ribosomal RNA is filed under the name uncultured Penicillium. Its description in RNAcentral is "SSU rRNA". It matches the Rfam family "Eukaryotic small subunit ribosomal RNA", at positions 39 to 352 of the family's 1831-position model. Lineage: Eukaryota; Fungi; Ascomycota; Eurotiomycetes; Eurotiales; Aspergillaceae. The record is from RNAcentral.
AAAGAUUAAGCCAUGCAUGUCUAAGUAUAGCACUUUAUACUGUGAAACUGCGAAUGGCUCAUUAAAUCAGUUAUCGUUUAUUUGAUAGUACCUUACUACAUGGAUACCUGUGGUAAUUCUAGAGCUAAUACAUGCUACAAACCCCGACUUCAGGAAGGGGUGUAUUUAUUAGAUAAAAAACCAACGCCCUUCGGGGCUCCUUGGUGAAUCAUAAUAACUUAACGAAUCGCAUGGCCUUGCGCCGGCGAUGGUUCAUUCAAAUUUCUGCCCUAUCAACUUUCGAUGGUAGGAUAGUGGCCUACCAUGGUGG